RNAcentral lists this ribosomal RNA (222 nucleotides) under uncultured bacterium. RNAcentral describes it as "partial 16S ribosomal RNA". It matches the Rfam family "Bacterial small subunit ribosomal RNA", at positions 109 to 334 of the family's 1533-position model. The record is from RNAcentral.
AGUAAUGUAUAGGAACUUGCCUAGUAGUGGGGGAUAACGUGUGGAAACGCACGCUAAUACCGCAUACGCUCUACGGAGGAAAGCGGGGGAUCUUCGGACCUCGUGCUACUAGAUGGGCCUAUAUCAGAUUAGCUAGUUGGUAAGGUAAUGGCUUACCAUGGCGACGAUCUGUAGCUGGUUUGAGAGAAUGAUCAGCCACACUGGGACUGAGACACGGCCCAG